Molecule: ribosomal RNA, 484 nt
Filed under: uncultured bacterium
Lineage: Bacteria
Description: partial 16S ribosomal RNA
Rfam family: Bacterial small subunit ribosomal RNA
Source: RNAcentral
AUUGAACGCUGGCGGCAGGCCUAACACAUGCAAGUCGAGCGGAUGAAGGGAGCUUGCUCCUGGAUUCAGCGGCGGACGGGUGAGUAAUGCCUAGGAAUCUGCCUGGUAGUGGGGGAUAACGUCCGGAAACGGGCGCUAAUACCGCAUACGUCCUGAGGGAGAAAGUGGGGGAUCUUCGGACCUCACGCUAUCAGAUGAGCCUAGGUCGGAUUAGCUAGUUGGUGGGGUAAAGGCCUACCAAGGCGACGAUCCGUAACUGGUCUGAGAGGAUGAUCAGUCACACUGGAACUGAGACACGGUCCAGACCCCUCCGGGAGGCAGCAGUGGGGAAUAUUGGACGAAGGGCGAAAGCCUGAUCCAGCCAUGCCGCGUGUGUGAAGAAGGUCUUCGGAUUGUAAAGCACUUUAAGUUGGGAGGAAGGGCAGUAAGUUAAUCCCUUGCUGUUUUGACGUUACCAACAGAAUAAGCACCGGCUAACUUCGUG